RNAcentral lists this long non-coding RNA (5188 nucleotides) under Malus domestica (apple). RNAcentral describes it as "long non-coding RNA (MDOM_LNC016622)". The record is from RNAcentral. Lineage: Eukaryota; Viridiplantae; Streptophyta; Magnoliopsida; Rosales; Rosaceae.
UUUGCAGCUGACAAGUGUCCUUGGGACAAGUUAGCUGAUGGAAAUUUUGAUUUCCUUGGGUAUAUUUGUUCCCUAGGAGGAUUCAAUUUGUUCUUGGGGGUUUAGAACUUAGUUUUAGAGAGAGAGAGAGAGAGUUGCCUUAAAGGCUUGAAACUUGAAUCUCCUCCAUUUAUGAACCCUAACUGCCAAACCUUCCUCAUGCAUUAAACACCCAAUCAUUGUCUAUUAGGGUUGCAUUGUUUUAAGGUUUUGCAUUUAAGUCUUGGUCUAGUUUUGAGUUUUCAAUUCGGUUUUAGACCAAACUUUUGGAUUCAAGUUAGAUUCUUCCUUUAAUUGUUUGACUGGAGAAUCUGACUAGUCAUUUGAAUCUAGAUUUCAUGUGCAUAUAUCAUAAAAUCAUAUCACAUCAUUGAUCGUGUUGAUCUUGGUGCCCCAAGGUGAUGAGCUCAUGAGGAGCUGCUACUUUGUGAAGACCGAAGGAGUUCAUCUCGUGUAAGGCAAGGUUGCACAAAGGUAAAGCUGCUAUGUAGAUAUGGAUCUAGGAAUUGAGCUUCUGUGGUCUUUGUAUGAACUUUUGUUUACACUAGUGAAUUGGACUCAGUGGAGGUGAGUUUUUCCGGCCAAAAAUCUCUAGUGUUCAAGUUAUGUUUAUUGUGUCACACAUCAUAUAUACACAUACAUGGGACAUAUAUCUGUUCAACAUUUAAAUGGUAUGUACUCACUUGACACAUUAAUAACUUAAAACAAUCUAUAGCCUUGCUGAGUAGGAUAGUUUAUCGACUAACAAAUCUACCUUAGUUGACUAGUAGGCUUUACUAGUCAGACUAGUAGGCUUUACUAGUCAGUCUAGUAGAUUAUAAUUUUUAUAUACAGGAUAUUCCAUUUGAUACCAAUUUCAAACUAAUUUGGAUUUGGAUAUUUAACUCUGGAGCGGUUUUUACAUGUAAGGUCAAAUUUUUUUUUUUAUAUUGAAAGAAUUUAUUUCUUUCAAUGGACUUGUUUGUCAUGAUGAGAGGGGUUAAUUUUGACUUAGAACAAAAUUGAAUAUUUUUGCUAUAAAAUUAAUAGAAUAAGUGGUCAUGAAAAUUGAAUGGAAAAAUGUUAAUCUAUGACUUCAAAGAUUAUUCUUUGUUGUUUGCGUAACUUUAGGCAUUUUCGUAAUAUCCGGACAGUCCCUGCUUUCUUAUAUGUUUAGGAUAAUGCUAGGGAGAUCAAAAUUUUAAACUAAGUUUGCAAAUCAAAUGUUGUCACUUAUGGGAAAUAAACAUGUUAAUUAACACUUAAGUAAUAAUCCAAUUCUCAACAAUCACAUCAUUUGGUUUGCGAAUUUAGUUUAAAAUUUUGAUCUUCCUAGCAUUAUCCAUUUAUUGUUAUUUAUGUUACUGUAUAUGUGAGGUGUGGAUUCCGUUAUGGACUAUGUGGUUCCAUUUUGAUAUUUUUCGCACAUACCUAGUUUUCCAUAUAAAUACAUGCCGGGUUGGCAUGCAUGUAUAUACAUGUGAUGUAGAUGAGAACAACUCAUGAUCUUGGCUUGCUAAUUAGACAUGUACAUGCAUAUGACAGUUUGGUUAUCAUUGUAUGUAGACAUAAUUAAUACGUAACGACCAUAACCUGAAAUGCUAAUCAAUUAAUUAAGCAAACAAAUAUGAAAGUUGAAACAAAGAAGCAUUCUAUUCAAACAAUGAAAAAGCAUUUGUUUUCCUAUAAAAGCAUAUACCUAGAUUGCCCAUAUACUGAACCAAACUAUAUAUUGAGCAGCAUUGGAAAUAAUGAAGGCGUUCAUCUAUUUCGUGCUCUUCCUUACUCUGGCAUUUGGCCCGAUUAGCUACUAUGGUUACAUUCUUAGAAAAAAGCAACACCCUUAUUACAACUUUCAAAAUAACAACAAAUUCUCAAAUAAUUAAAAUACAAAACCUUUGUUAUUCCAAAGCAUAUUAAUGGUUUCAAAUUGUUUUCUUCAAGGACUGCCUCCUGCAUCACAACUAGACAAACACUAGCACAACUAAAGAAGGAGACUAAGAUAAAGAGCCAAGCUUUGUUCAUAAAUUCAUUCAAAUACAUCCUCCCCCCCCCCCCCCAACCUCCAUAAUUCUAGCAUUUUAAAAGGCCUAGCCAACUGCUUAAUUAAAUGCUAACACAACUUCCUAGUCCACUAAAACUUCAUAAAUGAUAAUCAAGUCCCAACCCAAAUACAUAAUUGAAACACAACUUACCAAAAUACAAAUUACUAAAAUAUAAAUUAGCCAUUUAAAUAUGAGAGCUUAAUGAAUUUCUUUUUCAUGCACUGCAUCAGACUCUCCAGGUGAGAAAGAACUCACCCACGAGUUCACUGAUUCAAAAUCGAUCCAUAACCCAAAGUGUUGUAACCAACUUUUCUUCGCAUGCUUAGUUUUCUUUUUCAAUCUAACAAACAACUUCUUUGCAUAACAGAAAAAAAUGGUGGUUAUUUCCAUAAGCUGCAAUAGUUUAUAAAGAUUUCUUGAGGAUGUAUCAACUUCCAAAUAUUGCAAUAACUCUUUUCGCUCUCCCAUUUUUUUGGUUACGUCAGUGUGCAUGAAGUCAUACCAAACCGGAUCAUGAAACUCAAUUGUAGGAGUAACUUCCACAACUUUAGGUUGCUCAUGUGUGGCAAUGUGUUGUGGCGUGCAUCCAUUUUUGAAUCCUAACACCAUAUCUCUAUUACCAGAAACCAUCAAUAUGUUGCUGCUUGUUUGAUCAACACAAGACUUCACAUCUAAAGCACAAGUAGAGGCCAAAAUAUCCCUUGUAGAAUCUGAUUUGCAAAUCCCUUCUUGGCAUAGACUUGUUGAGUUCUUUAGUGAUACAAAUUCAAUUGUUUUGUCCUGAAAAGUGUCGCGGUUGACAUUCUUCAAGUUCACUUCUUCAUUGUCAACAUAUUCAUAAAAAAUAGGUGGUACAAUCCAAUCAAAAGCACUAACCAUUUGAUCAAACUUGGGUUCUUUAUCGCAAUCAAAUUUCAUUUCACCGUAUUGAGUUUCUUCUUCAAGAGAAAUGCCAAGUUUAUCUUCCUUACACCUAAUUUCCAAAUAAGAAGGCAAAGAAAAUUGACUUACGUCCAGGUUCGAAACUUUGUUGAUUUCAAUUGGUGCUUCAACCUCAAACGCUAAUCCUUCAGCAUCAUUUGGUUUGUAAUCUUCCACACAAUCCCUUGCAACCUUAAGCCAAUUAUGAAAUCUUGUCAGCCCAAGCUUCCAUAAUUGAUUUUUAUUCCCUUGAGACGAACGGUGUUGUGGAUUGUAAAACCACCUCAAUUCUGCCUCAUGAUCAGAAUUACUGCGUCUUGACCCACCAAGCUUCAUACGAGCUUCUUGGUGUUCGAUUCACCUACUAAGUUGCUCAACUUGUCUUCGAAGUGCUUGAAGUUCUUUGUCUCUUUCAUCCCUAGAUUCCACGAUGCUCAUAUGGUGCUCAUGCUUUCCUCUACCUCUUUGUCCCACCAUUUUACAUAAACGGUGCGGAAACGACCCAAAGAACGUAGCAAAGCUCUGGUACCAAAUGAUGCAAGAGAAGCCAAGGAUUCUUGAGGAGAGGAGGGAUAGAUGACCUGGGAUUUGCUCAACUAGGGGAAAUGGAGCUUGCUCACAUCACUAAUCGUGGAUUCGCUCACACAACCAAGCCAAAUGCUUGAUAAUGAUGCUGGAGGCAGGCCUUGAAGAAAACAAUUUGAAACCAUUAAUAUGCUUUGGAAUAACAAAGGUUUUGUAUUUUAAUCAUUUCACCUCCUUGAGUGUUAAGGUGGCAUCAUAUUUUUUUUUUAUUUUUUAGAAAGCGAGUAAAUUGUUACGCCCUGAAUCUGAAGUCAAUAGAAAAAAUUUAACACCGCACUUGAUGCGCGAAUAAAAAGUAAUGUAAUAAGAACAUAUACAUCUCUUCGUUUACAUCAUAAUGUUUCACAACCAAACAUUCACACUCUACUUAUGUUACAAAAUUUUUGUCUAUACUUCCCAUGAAAGUCUACUUUUCAGGUCUCGAAGUCAACAACUGUCAAAUUAUUCAUAAGGGGCGAGCUUCUGGCUCAUCAGGGCAAAAACCACAAUGCAUAUAAUACAUCGGAAUCAAUGACGAUGCAUCAAUGUAGUAUUUCCUCUUCAGUCUAUUAUGUUAACCCAGUUAACAAAUAACCUUGUUUCUCUUUUCAUUAGUCAUCUCGUCAAAUUCCCAAUCCCGAACCCAAACCCGAAUAGAUGGUUUUAUCGGACUCUAACACAAGGGGCUUCGCUCCCUUAUUUCUUGCAUUUUGGGCUGAACAUAGGUCUUUUUACCCCGAGAGUGGACUAAACUACUUUUAGUUUCAUAUUUCCACAAAUCUUAUACCUUCUCAAUUUGGGACUAGUGCAUGAUCUUUUGUUAUUCAAUUCCAUGGAUCCUUCCCCACUGAAUCCACAAUACAUAUGACAUAGUUAUCGUUCAUGAUAACUAUGAAACAAUAUUCAAAUGACAUUCAAACCAAUAAUAUUCUUCAAGAAACAUCAGCCAAAGACAAGCUCAAGCAUUUGAAUCAUGAUAUCAUGUAGUCAUAAAAUUGAACCAAUUAACAUACACAAUUGUGUGUAUGAAACCGAUUAAUAUACGAAGGUUCCCCGAGAAUUUUCCUAGCUUGAUUCCAAAGUUUAGCAUGCUCCCACAAUUCAUGACGUCACCUUCACAGUGUGUCAAUGUUUUUUUCAUGAGUAACGUACUAGAGUUCCUAAUCCAAUAAAAAUACAAAAGGUUAGUAUAUAAUCCUUAUAUAGUAACCAGGUUAUAUUCCUUUUUAUUUUGUUAGGGUCAAAUACAUUUCUUGUAGUCUAAUUUGGUACCCUACUAUAUGAUACUUGCACUCUUGUCCUAAAUAAUUUUCUGAGUUUACAAAACGCCCUUAAACUUUUGGGUAUAUACACCUUGGCCCCUUUAUAAGAAAGAUAUAAUUGCCCCCAAAACUGAAACUAUUUUUAUAGUUCAGUCCUGUUAUGAAACCAGCGGGUUUCAUAAAUGUUUUUUUCCCACAAUAUUGAAUUCAACUUUCAAGCCAAAAUACAAUCCAUAAUGGUACAAACUAAGAACAAUACUUGGCUACUAAAAGAUGAGCAGGAACUCCUACUCAAAACUCUUUGUGUUUUAUGUUGGUAUAUGGUCCAGCCCAUGAUCAAUGUUCUAGAUUAUUCUAGUAAGCAAGAGAGAUGGCUGG